GUUUGAUCCUGGCUCAGAUUGAACGCUGGCGGCAUGCUUUACACAUGCAAGUCGAACGGUAACAGGCCGCAAGGUGCUGACGAGUGGCGAACGGGUGAGUAAUGCAUCGGAACGUGCCCGGUCGUGGGGGAUAACACUUCGAAAGAAGUGCUAAUACCGCAUACGAUCUGAGGAUGAAAGCGGGGGACCGUAAGGCCUCGCGCGAUCGGAGCGGCCGAUGUCAGAUUAGGUAGUUGGUGGGGUAAAGGCUCACCAAGCCAACGAUCUGUAGCUGGUCUGAGAGGACGACCAGCCACACUGGGACUGAGACACGGCCCAGACUCCUACGGGAGGCAGCAGUGGGGAAUUUUGGACAAUGGGCGCAAGCCUGAUCCAGCAAUGCCGCGUGCAGGAAGAAGGCCUUCGGGUUGUAAACUGCUUUUGUACGGAACGAAACGGUCCGGGUUAAUACCCUGGGCUAAUGACGGUACCGUAAGAAUAAGCACCGGCUAACUACGUGCCAGCAGCCGCGGUAAUACGUAGGGUGCAAGCGUUAAUCGGAAUUACUGGGCGUAAAGCGUGCGCAGGCGGUUUUGUAAGACAGGCGUGAAAUCCCCGGGCUCAACCUGGGAAUUGCGCUUGUGACUGCAAGGCUGGAGUGCGGCAGAGGGAGAUGGAAUUCCGCGUGUAGCAGUGAAAUGCGUAGAUAUGCGGAGGAACACCGAUGGCGAA
RNAcentral lists this ribosomal RNA (711 nucleotides) under uncultured bacterium. RNAcentral's name for it is "bacterial SSU rRNA". It matches the Rfam family "Bacterial small subunit ribosomal RNA", at positions 11 to 719 of the family's 1533-position model. The record is from RNAcentral.